AUUGAACGCUGGCGGCAGGCCUAACGCAUGCAAGUCGAGCGGAUGAAGGGAGCUUGCUCCUGGAUUCAGCGGCGGACGGGUGAGUAAUGCCUAGGAAUCUGCCUGGUAGUGGGGGAUAACGUCCGGAAACGGGCGCUAAUACCGCAUACGUCCUGAGGGAGAAAGUGGGGGAUCUUCGGACCUCACGCUAUCAGAUGAGCCUAGGUCGGAUUAGCUAGUUGGUGGGGUAAAGGCCUACCAAGGCGACGAUCCGUAACUGGUCUGAGAGGAUGAUCAGUCACACUGGAACUGAGACACGGUCCAGACUCCUACGGGAGGCAGCAGUGGGGAAUAUUGGACAAUGGGCGAAAGCCUGGUCCAGCCAUGCCGCGUGUGUGAAGAAGGUCUUCGGAUUGUAAAGCACUUUAAGUUGGGAGGAAGGGCAGUAAGUUAAUACCUUGCUGUUUUGACGUUACCAACAGAAUAAGCACCGGCUAACUUCGUG
RNAcentral lists this ribosomal RNA (484 nucleotides) under uncultured bacterium. RNAcentral's name for it is "partial 16S ribosomal RNA". It matches the Rfam family "Bacterial small subunit ribosomal RNA", at positions 30 to 507 of the family's 1533-position model. The record is from RNAcentral.